UACGGAGGGUGCAAGCGUUGUCCGGAAUCACUGGGCGUAAAGGGCGCGUAGGUGGCGCGACAAGUCAGUGGUGAAAGUUCGACGCUCAACGUCGAAUCGGCCACUGAUACUGUUGGGCUUGAGCACUGUAGAGGCUAAUGGAAUUCCGGGUGUAGCGGUGGAAUGCGUAGAGAUCCGGAGGAACACCGGUGGUGUAAACGGCUUCUGGACCAUAACUGACGCUGAGGCACGAAAGCAUGGGGAGCGAACAGG
Molecule: ribosomal RNA, 252 nt
Filed under: uncultured bacterium
Lineage: Bacteria
Description: partial 16S ribosomal RNA
Rfam family: Bacterial small subunit ribosomal RNA
Source: RNAcentral